Molecule: long non-coding RNA, 930 nt
Filed under: Ictidomys tridecemlineatus (thirteen-lined ground squirrel)
Lineage: Eukaryota; Metazoa; Chordata; Mammalia; Rodentia; Sciuridae
Description: lncRNA (ENSSTOG00000034396.1)
Source: RNAcentral
AGGACCCCGACUCAAAUCCCGGCCCCGCCUACAGCGGGGUGCUGCCUCCGGAGCCCUCGAACCUCGUCCCACUUCUUCCCCGGCCCCUGGAAGCUCAGACCACGCCCUCGGAGUGCUCAGGGCCGUCCUUUGAACUCCCAGGCCCAGCCUCCCCAGCACUCCGGAGGCCGGCCGUCGGGUGCGGCGCCCGGGACCCUAGGCCACGCCCCACGCUUCCAGGCCACGCCCCGGAGCCAGGACCACGCCCACCCCGCAGGAGUCCGAAGCGGCCAUGGGGACUCCCAGUAGCCCGGAGGAGAGGUCCGGCUCCCCGCCGGUCCCCGAGUGCGACGCAGAGGUUCAGCCCCAAGGAGCCUCCCAGCCCCAUGAUCACCCCGAUGAGCCCCGCGAACAGGAGGCGCCCGGGGUCCCGGCGGAGCUUCCUAGCGGCCAAGGAGUUGAGCAGCAGACUGAGGAAGAGGAAGAAGUGGGAGAAGGCAGCAGCACCGAGAGCAGCCGGGAGGAGCCCGAGGGCGCACCCCGGGCACAGACUCCGGCCUCGCCCUCCACCUGCACCCCUUAUGGGGAAGGGGUGAGAGCAGCCCGGAGGAGGCUCCAAGCCCAGAAGCUGGAGGCAGUGACUCGCGUUGCCCUGUUGGAGCAGAGACUGAAGGAGCUUCAGCGUCAAAAGAAGGAGCUGAGGAUCCAGAUGGAGGUGGAGGUGGCCCUGAUACGGGGUGAACUGGCUGGAGAGAGAGUGGCCCUGCGGCGGGAGGAGGAGCAGCUCCGAGAGCUGCUAGGGCAGCUGGUGGUCCAGGAGCCUGGCAGCCAGGAGCGGGAACAGGUUUGUUCACCUACUGUUUCUUUUCCAGUGGUUUCCUUCCUUGAGUGUGUGCAUGGAAGGAGGUAUUGGUGGGUAUUGGUGGUGUUUUUUCUGGUGACUUGUGUCCG